This 1977-nucleotide long non-coding RNA is filed under the name Athene cunicularia (burrowing owl). Its description in RNAcentral is "lncRNA (ENSACUG00000005582.1)". The record is from RNAcentral. Lineage: Eukaryota; Metazoa; Chordata; Aves; Strigiformes; Strigidae.
GGAGUAACAGUGGACUUUGAUGCCUUCUGAAAUCCACGAUCUAGAAACGGAGCUGGGCAGAGCUCCUAAGGUUAUCGAGAUAACUUCUGUCAUUUUUGCAGCCACCUGCAGUGAGGCCUUUGAAACUGUGUGGUCUGAGGACGGAAGACCUUUACAGCUCUGGAGUAGGAGGAGACCUGCAGCAGGAAGAUGUGUUCUCUGAACCCAGAGAGCAGCACAGAAGGUGCCUGCAAACAGGUCAGCAAGAAAAAGCUUCCCGAGCACUGAAGAUAACUGGUGGUGAUAAGGAAGAGGGUGAAGUCUGCAGCCUGACUGACAGCUGUGAAGAAGCCUUGAGGAAGACCAGUGAUGAGCACCUCAUUGAAAGGAUUUCACUUGAUUCUUCUUGCCACUCCUGUCUGUCCCAGUCUUCCUCAGGUUUAUCACAGGCUCAGGAAGGUGCAGUGUUCUCCAACCUGAACUUCUGUCUAAUUCCAUCCCCUCCAAAAAGCCCUUCACCUGCGUCUGUAACGGGUGUUGCAGCAAGACCCUGGAAAACAAGGCGCCACAGGGUAAGAUGCCUAAAAAUACCCAGCCAAGAGGAGGACAGGCAGUGGACACAGCGAUGCCAGUCAAGGACUCAUCAAGAAACUUCAGCCCAGCCUCUGGGCAAGGAACUUGCUCCACUGAGCCAGCCCAGCGUGCCGGCUGCCUCCGGCUCCCGAGGGCAGCGCCAGCCUCCUGGGAGCACUGCCUGGCAAACAUCUAUUUCAGGACCAGCAGCUGUUGGAUCCAUGAGCAUCAGGCCCAUUGUGGGUGAGAGCCCUCCUGGAAAGAUGAACCACCACAAGACAGCUGUCUGCUCACCCCCAAAAGCCUCAGAGAGGCUGGAACUGAUGAACACUGCUUGGCCCCUGACGGCCAGGGCCAUGCUGCAGUCACUGCCAGACAAACCCGCUGCCUCAACAACAUCUCAGAACAAAAGUACCAGGUCCUAGAAGAUACCCAGGUGGCAGCGUGUAUUGGGGCACAGUCUGGAAGCACCGAUGCUAUCUUUCAGCUGCUUCUGCAAGCUAGACACAGAGCUGUGCAAGUAGAGCAGUUCAAACAAAUGACAUGAUUUGCCUCAAUUAAGGCUACAGCUGCUCCAGAAAUACUUGCUUUAAAGAGCACCCGCUGAUCAACAGAAGAGCUAAUCAAACUCUUAUUACAGAAAAGUGUGGUUAUUUUUGCAGCCUUCGUGCACUAAAACAGAACAAGUCCUAACGUAUUUCCUCCCAUCCACACCAUGCCCUGCUCUGUGAGUCAGGCAGGGACACUGACCCAGACAGAGCACGGAGCCUGCAGUUUGUGGAGUGCCUGGAGGAUGUGAGGGCCAUGGGGUGCCCCGCCCCACCCCCAGCAGCAGCCCCUCCACAUAUCUUUUGCAGUCCUGGAUGUUUAACAUACGAGGGACAAAGCCAAGGGCUGGAGAGGAAGAAGAGCCGGGAAGGCUGGGUGGUUUCAGAGCUUAUGCUCCCACAGGAGGUCACCUCGUUCCCAGGCAUCCAAGGUCCUUGUUGCCUGCAUCUCUAUGGCAGUGAAUGCUGACCAAGUGGCUCAUCCCAAUACUAACAUCUGUGUUUGCUUUGUAGCUACCUGGAAGGAUUUCUCUUGCUCCCUGUGGAGAGACUGGGAUUGCGUUAGCAGAGCUGACCUCUUUGAGCAGGUGUCAGAGCAUCCCCUGCCUGCACCUUUAGAGCCGAGCGUCCCCCGUCUAGUUUUUUAGGUCAAAUAGACUUUCCAGUUUCAUACAACUGAAUAACUCCAAGUAAUGCUGCAGAAAAGACAAGGCAGGGAAGUAAGGGUAUAAUCUCUUGUUUUUCCAAUAGGACAUUUGCUUGAUAAUUGAAGCCAUCUACUUCUUCCUUCCAUUCUUCACCAACGGGAUCUCCACGUAACGCCAUGAUGUUCUUCAUGCUUUAUUUGCUUUAUGUUCGGGUGAGAUUCCAAACAUCU